RNAcentral lists this ribosomal RNA (561 nucleotides) under uncultured bacterium. RNAcentral's name for it is "bacterial SSU rRNA". It matches the Rfam family "Bacterial small subunit ribosomal RNA", at positions 102 to 674 of the family's 1533-position model. The record is from RNAcentral.
AAGGGUGAGUAAGGCGACGGUAACCAACCCCGAGAUUGGGUAUAGCCGCGGGAAACUGCGGGUAAUCCCCAGCGACGCGUCGAGCCGGCAUCGGCUUGACGUCAAAGCUCCGGCGUCUUGGGACGGGCUGUCGUGGUAUUAGGUAGUUGGCGGGGUAACGGCCCACCAAGCCUUCGAUGCCUACCGGGCGUGCGAGCGUGGCCCGGCACACUGGGACUGAGACACUGCCCAGACACCUACGGGUGGCUGCAGUCGAGAAUCUUCGGCAAUGGGCGCAAGCCUGACCGAGCGACGCCGCGUGGAGGAUGAAGGCCUUCGGGUUGUAAACUCCUGUCGAGGGGGAGGAAGGGGCAACCUUGACCUGUCCCUGGAGGAAGCACGGGCUAAGUUCGUGCCAGCAGCCGCGGUAAGACGAACCGUGCGAACGUUAUUCGGAAUCAUUGGGCUUAAAGCGCGUGUAGGCGGAUGGGAACGUCGGUGUUGAAAGCCCCCGGCUCAACCGGGGAAUUGGCGCCGAAACGACCCGUCUCGAGGGGCAUAGGGGGACCUGGAACUUCCGGU